This is a long non-coding RNA of Triticum aestivum (bread wheat), 737 nucleotides long. RefSeq lists it as uncharacterized. The record is from RefSeq and is a predicted model, not a curated record. The transcript has 2 exons. Lineage: Eukaryota; Viridiplantae; Streptophyta; Magnoliopsida; Poales; Poaceae.
GCAGCCGUAGCGCGGACGAAGAGGGCCGACGUGCUUCUUGUCAGCCGUAGGCCACUCAUGCCGUUCAAAAUCGAUAGCGUCGAUCCAUUAAGAGGUAAGAACAUCCCGAAUUGUAGAAGAUUACCUGCACGCUUACAGUUCUUGUUUGGAUUUUCAAUCCAUUGAUCAAGGGUGCCUUUUCCAUUCGUCUUUUCCUCCGUUGAUGUCUUUCCGAUGGAAGGUUGCGAACAUUGUCCUGAUUCCAUCCCCACAUGCUCGGAUGAAGCAAUUCUCAACGGCGGUUGCCGGUUGACUCGUCACAGGUCACAGCGAUUAGCGCUAAUUAGCCUGAUCGUGUAGUGACGCCAGCCGCUCGGAAGCCACGCCGCCGGGGCAAGCCAAGGCCGCUCGCCGUUGUUGUUCGAGGGCCGUAGUCGGGGAGGCACCGGGUUCCGCGGGCAGGCGUUUCAGGCGUACAUAACCGCUGCCUGGGAUGGCCUAUUUCUCUCGUCGGAGAGCAAAGGGUUGAUAACAUGUUAAGAGGAAAAUGAAUCAACUCACUCCUUUACUAGAUGGCAUCUGCUAUUUAUACAAGGGAAAGGACACCAUUGGAAAAGGUGUUUGUUCAAAGGAGGUGCCUAUUCGGCAGGAGCCGACGCGGCCGUUUUACAACUGCCUGCGGUUAGUACAAGCAGGGAUCCCAUAAUUAACACAUGGUUAAUUAAUUCUAACAAAAACCAAGGUUGGGCCUUGCUGGA